AGUGAACGCUGGCGGUAGGCCUAACACAUGCAAGUCGAACGGCAGCACAGUAAGAGCUUGCUCUUACGGGUGGCGAGUGGCGGACGGGUGAGGAAUACAUCGGAAUCUUCUUUUUCGUGGGGGAUAACGUAGGGAAACUUACGCUAAUACCGCAUACGACCUACGGGUGAAAGCAGGGGACCUUGGGACCUUGCGCGAUUGAAUGAGCCGAUGUCGGAUUAGCUAGUUGGCGGGGUAAAGGCCCACCAAGGCGACGAUCCGUAGCUGGUCUGAGAGGAUGAUCAGCCACACUGGAACUGAGACACGGUCCAGACUCCUACGGGAGGCAGCAGUGGGGAAUAUUGGACAAUGGGCGCAAGCCUGAUCCAGCCAUACCGCGUGGGUGAAGAAGGCCUUCGGGUUGUAAAGCCCUUUUGUUGGGAAAGAAAAGCAGCAGGUUAAUACCCCGCUGUUCUGACGGUACCCAAAGAAUAAGCACCGGCUAACUUCGUG
Molecule: ribosomal RNA, 492 nt
Filed under: uncultured bacterium
Lineage: Bacteria
Description: partial 16S ribosomal RNA
Rfam family: Bacterial small subunit ribosomal RNA
Source: RNAcentral